UCUCCGUUGGUGAACCAGCGGAGGGAUCAUUACGAGAAGCCGAAAGGCUACUUAAAACCAUCGCGAACUCGUCCAAGUUGCUUCGGCGGCGCGGGGCUCCUCACGGGGCGCCGCUGCCCGGCCUCUCCGGAGGUGUGGGCGCCCGCCGGAGGUACGAAACUCUCAAUGUAUUACAGCGGCAUCUCUGAGUACGAAGCAAAAAUAAGUUAAAACUUUCAACAACGGAUCUCUUGGUUCUG
This 239-nucleotide unclassified non-coding RNA is filed under the name soil metagenome. RNAcentral describes it as "partial contains small subunit ribosomal RNA, internal transcribed spacer 1, and 5.8S ribosomal RNA". The record is from RNAcentral.